RNAcentral lists this ribosomal RNA (253 nucleotides) under uncultured bacterium. RNAcentral's name for it is "partial 16S ribosomal RNA". It matches the Rfam family "Bacterial small subunit ribosomal RNA", at positions 524 to 776 of the family's 1533-position model. The record is from RNAcentral.
GACGAACCGUGCAAACGUUAUUCGGAUUCACUGGGCUUAAAGGGCGCGUAGGCGGGUGGUCAAGUCGGGGGUGAAAUCUUUCAGCUCAACUGGAAAAUAGCUUCCGAUACUGGCCGUCUUGAGGGAGGUAGGGGCAUGUGGAACUUCCGGUGGAGCGGUGAAAUGCGUAGAUAUCGGAAGGAACGCCGGUGGCGAAAGCGACGUGCUGGACCUUUUCUGACGCUGAGGCGCGAAAGCCAGGGGAGCAAACGGG